GCAUGAGGGAAGGUAGAGAGAAGAAAAAAAGGGGGGGAUUGGCUAGGUGAGCGAGAGGGAAGGAGGAGGAUAGGAGACGUCUGGUUUUUGCCAGAUUAUGUGGAGGGGGAGUACAAUGAAGGCUCUAGAAAUCCUCCAGUAACUCGGAGGUCAUGGGUGUAAGCGUUGGAGUCAGGAUAGGAAUGCAGAGCCAAUAGCAUCCGCAUGCUCUCCCGCACCGACCCCAGUGUAGUGUCCACAGAGUGUUGUGUAUUGGAAACUGGAGUUAGAGUACAGUAGGUAUUUGAGAGUGUGUCAGAGAAUGGAGUGUCGACCUCUCAAUGUCAAACAUUAGGAUUAAACAGUAUAAAAAUAUACAAGGUGAAAACAUUAAGUUGCAAUUUAGCAAUUUAGAGAAGAGUGAGACUAAACUUCUUGGCUUGUGUACAGAUAACCCAAUACCUUACAUGAUAUUUAAGUCAGCAUAUAUACACAGAUUUUGGUGUUUGUUCUACUUAUCAUUAAAAUUAAUCCAGUUCCUACCACAUGCUCGCACGGGCCCGGAAGCCUGAAAUGGCACAGUAUGCCUGAACACAAGGCGGUGCAAGAACGGGAGCAGACACAGGCUGAGUUUCCCAGGCUGCUGAAGACGAUGAAGGCCCCAUUACGGCAGCCGAUGAUCAAUUAAUCAAUGGCAUUUGAUUAGCAGCACCUGUCUGUAACUUAACCUCUUAUACUUGGUUUUUCAUAAAUGGCUUUAUAUUUGUUUAAUAAAUCAUGACACGGUGUAAUAUGUCAUAUGUUGUUGUUCAUCUGAGGUCGUAUUUUUCUAAUUUUCCUUAG
Non-coding RNA from Pelobates cultripes (western spadefoot toad), 822 nucleotides. NCBI's taxonomy places the organism in Eukaryota, Metazoa, Chordata, Amphibia, Anura, Pelobatidae. The record is from the annotation of a GenBank genome assembly.